RNAcentral lists this ribosomal RNA (652 nucleotides) under Streptomyces sp. WM6378. RNAcentral describes it as "bacterial LSU rRNA". It matches the Rfam family "Bacterial large subunit ribosomal RNA", at positions 1 to 585 of the family's 2925-position model. The record is from RNAcentral. Lineage: Bacteria; Bacillati; Actinomycetota; Actinomycetes; Kitasatosporales; Streptomycetaceae.
ACAGUGGACGCGAGCAUCUGUGGCCAAGUUUUUAAGGGCGCACGGUGGAUGCCUUGGCACCAGGAACCGAUGAAGGACGUGGGAGGCCACGAUAGUCCCCGGGGAGCCGUCAACCAGGCUUUGAUCCGGGGGUUUCCGAAUGGGGAAACCCGGCAGUCGUCAUGGGCUGUCACCCAUACCUGAACACAUAGGGUAUGUGGAGGGAACGAGGGGAAGUGAAACAUCUCAGUACCCUCAGGAAGAGAAAACAACCGUGAUUCCGGGAGUAGUGGCGAGCGAAACCGGAUGAGGCCAAACCGUAUGCGUGUGAUACCCGGCAGGGGUUGCGCAUGCGGGGUUGUGGGAUCUCUCUUCUGUCGUCUGCCGGCGACAGGGCGAGUCAGAAACCGUUGGUGUAGGCGAAGGACAUGCGAAAGGUCCGGCGUAGAGGGUAAGACCCCCGUAGCUGAAACAUCAACGGCUCGUUUGAGAGACACCCAAGUAGCACGGGGCCCGAGAAAUCCCGUGUGAAUCUGGCGGGACCACCCGCUAAGCCUAAAUAUUCCCUGGUGACCGAUAGCGGAUAGUACCGUGAGGGAAUGGUGAAAAGUACCGCGGGAGCGGAGUGAAAUAGUACCUGAAACCGUGUGCCUACAAGCCGUGGGAGCGUCGC